RNAcentral lists this ribosomal RNA (254 nucleotides) under uncultured bacterium. RNAcentral's name for it is "partial 16S ribosomal RNA". It matches the Rfam family "Bacterial small subunit ribosomal RNA", at positions 524 to 776 of the family's 1533-position model. The record is from RNAcentral.
UACAGAGGUCUCAAGCGUUGUUCGGAUUCAUUGGGCGUAAAGGGUGCGUAGGUGGCGCCGUAAGUCGGGUGUGAAAUUUCGGAGCUUAACUCCGAAACUGCAUUCGAUACUGCGGUGCUUGAGGACUGGAGAGGAGACUGGAAUUCAUGGUGUAGCAGUGAAAUGCGUAGAGAUCAUGAGGAAGACCAGUGGCGAAGGCGGGUUGCUAGGCUGACACUGACGCUGAGUGCGCGAAAGCCAGGGGAGCAAACGGG